GUAUUAUUUCUGUGAUUGAAUCAGCCAUCAGUAACACGAGCAUCUCAAUGAAUCCAUAAGGAUCAAUAGAUAUACAACACAUAUUAUCAUAGAUAGGCGGAGCUUAAUGUGGAAUAGAGCAGAAGAGCUCAAAGAGGCUUGAUACACCUACUUAUAGAUCAUUAAAUUCAAACCACAUACAACAAUGAUCUUCAUCUGCUCUGUUUUAACAUUUGUCUUGAGUUAUGGUGAAGCUAAUAAGAGUCCUAUCAGUUCAGAUAAAGCAUAUGUGUCUUUAAACGAAGGCAGUAAUGCUACUCUAUCCUGUACCUUCGAUGAAUCAGCUUACCGUCUCCACUGGUAUCGACAGAAGACCGGAUCGAAGUUAGAGUUUUUGCUGCUAACAUUCCAUAAUAACAAUCGUGUGGAUCUGGAGAUCUCCUCUGCUGCUGUAUCAGACUCUGCUCUUUAUUACUGUGCUCUGCAGACCACAGUGAUAGGAAAGCUUGCAACACAGUACAAAAACAAUGUUUUGAUGAUUAUUUUAAAAGAAUAA
This is a non-coding RNA of Sinocyclocheilus anshuiensis, 535 nucleotides long. NCBI's taxonomy places the organism in Eukaryota, Metazoa, Chordata, Actinopteri, Cypriniformes, Cyprinidae. The record is from the annotation of a RefSeq genome assembly.